UGGGGAAUUUUGGACAAUGGGCGAAAGCCUGAUCCAGCCAUGCCGCGUGAGUGAAGAAGGCCUUCGGGUUGUAAAGCUCUUUAGUCGGAAAGAAAGAGUUGCAAUGAAUAAUUGUGAUUUAUGACGGUACCGACAGAAAAAGCACCGGCUAACUACGUGCCAGCAGCCGCGGUAAUACGUAGGGUGCGAGCGUUAAUCGGAAUUACUGGGCGUAAAGGGUGCGCAGGCGGUCUUGCAAGUCAGAUGUGAAAGCCCCGGGCUUAACCUGGGAAUUGCGUUUGAAACUACAAAACUAGAGUGCAGCAGAGGGGAGUGGAAUUCCAUGUGUAGCAGUGAAAUGCGUAGAGAUGUGGAAGAACACCGAUGGCGAAGGCAGCUCCCUGGGUUGACACUGACGCUCAUGCACGAAAGCGUGGGGAGCAAACA
This 426-nucleotide ribosomal RNA is filed under the name uncultured bacterium. RNAcentral describes it as "bacterial SSU rRNA". It matches the Rfam family "Bacterial small subunit ribosomal RNA", at positions 355 to 774 of the family's 1533-position model. The record is from RNAcentral.